GCGCCUGUAGCUCAGCUGGAUAGAGCGCUGCCCUCCGGAGGCAGAGGUCUCAGGUUCGAAUCCUGUCGGGCGCACCA
RNAcentral lists this transfer RNA (77 nucleotides) under Citrobacter freundii. RNAcentral describes it as "tRNA-Arg". It matches the Rfam family "tRNA". Rfam says of the family: Transfer RNA (tRNA) molecules are approximately 80 nucleotides in length. Their secondary structure includes four short double-helical elements and three loops (D, anti-codon, and T loops). Further hydrogen bonds mediate the characteristic L-shaped molecular structure. tRNAs have two regions of fundamental functional importance: the anti-codon, which is responsible for specific mRNA codon recognition, and the 3' end, to which the tRNAs corresponding amino acid is attached (by aminoacyl-tRNA synthetases). tRNAs cope with the degeneracy of the genetic code in two manners: having more than one tRNA (with a specific anti-codon) for a particular amino acid; and 'wobble' base-pairing, i.e. permitting non-standard base-pairing at the 3rd anti-codon position. RNAcentral also lists the same sequence under 1 other name. The record is from RNAcentral. Lineage: Bacteria; Pseudomonadati; Pseudomonadota; Gammaproteobacteria; Enterobacterales; Enterobacteriaceae.